GUGAAAACUGCAGCCAUGAAAGGCCCUCCAUUUACUGCACCCUUCAAAACGAAAUGUUAGCAUGGGAGGCUAAGCUGGAGGCUAAUAACGAGGGAGUCAGUGAAGGAGACCAAUGCCACAAGGGUUAUCUCGCAGCCCCAGAUGCUGGAUAAGUUGAAGGAGGCAGAAUCGCUUUUGGAUGACAUUCAGGAAGGCCUUGAAUGAUUAUCUGGUGAAGAAAAGACUAUUCUUUUCAAGGUUUUUUUCCCUAGAUGCAGCAAUGAUCUAUUAGGAAUCCUUUUUGAGACAAAGGAUCCACUCCACCUCCAACCUAAGGAAAUGCUUUGAAGGAAUUGACAAGCUCACUUUUAAUCACAAGAGAGAAAUUACCCACAUGGAGUCAGCAGAAAAUGAAAAAGUAGAGCUCGUGCUGCGAAUAAUUCCAGCAAGUGCCAAGGGGCUAGUUGAGAAAUGGCUUCAUGAGGUGAAUAUCUUUAGCUCUUACUUAGGGUUUGGUUACUGUAUGAUCAUUUUCUCUUUUAGGAGCAAUGAAUAUUAUAAGUGUAUACUAAAUAGCUCUCUGUAUAUUUGUCAAGAUGUUGACAGAUUUCAGCCUUAUUGUUGUUAUUUAUUGCAACUAAUUUAGCAUCUGCAAACAUGCAGAAAAUAAUUCUAAUAAAAAGCUCUCUUGAAUCAGGCUGUCAGCAGAAGUCGGUCUGUGUCUGAAACCAUAUGUGUGAAUAUAUGUUUGAGUCUACAUGUAUGUGUUUUUGUGCUUUCAUGGUGUAAUGUCUGUAGUUCAGGAGGAUAAUAUAUGUAAAAAAUAAUCAAAGAAAUGCAAGAUUUUGAAUCUUCCCUCCACCCUGCAGAAAGUGUAUCCCAUUGUGUUGGAGGGGUUUAAUAUCCAAUCAUUUUAACAAAAGGGAAGAGAAAUUAUGUCACUGAUAACAUCCUAACCUUUCCCCUUUGGGCCUCUAAUCUAAAUUCAUUGGUUUCAGUACGAAAUUAGUUUGGUGACCUUUUUUGUUUGCUUUACUUAACCUUCCUCUCCCAGUAGAUGCGAAUGGGACCUUCCAUUCUUUUUUCUUUCUGGGCAUUUUUCUUCCAUGUGCUUGCCUUUCUCCUGGGGCAGGAUCAGCCCCAGGAAUUCCUCUCCCCUUUGUUCAGUGCUGCGGGUGUCUCGUCCUCAGUGGCUUGUCCCUGGGUGCUCCCUAGGCAAGGGUAAGUGACAGGGACCAGCACCCAGCUCCAGCAGAAGUGAGGGGAGGCUGGGGGAUUGCUAUUUGUAGAGCCAGAUGAUUGGGCAGAAACUGGGGGGGAAUCCCUGGGCAGUGAAACCAGGAGCAGGUGGCAGGUUAAAGGCAUUUGGCCCUAUUCUGUAUUGUGUUCCUACUGGCUGGGGGAGCAAAGCCAGGCCACAUAAGCCCACUUGUGAAUCCCCUUUUCCCACACAAUGAAGCAGCAAUGUGCCAGCUUUGGAUGGAGCCCCUUUAGGGAGUGAUUGCACACGGUUUAAAAUGAUCCAUCUUAAUCAUUAUUCAGGAUAGGGAAGGGAGAAGAGAAGGGGGUGAUUUAGGCAAGCCCAAACACUUCCCACCCUGCUCUCUGUGUCGAACUUGGGUUUGGACUAGUUUGCAGACAAAGUUGUCUUCCAUUACAAAAAAAAAAAACAAAUCAAGAAAAAAAAAAAAAAAAAAAAAGAGUGACAGUGGAAAAGUGGCCAUCCUGAGGAGUUCAGGAAAAACCCAGAUUCUCGAGCCUAUGAUAUAAUUUUUACUUUUCACUUUCUUCCACAAAUGAAACAGGGUUGAGGGAGGUGAGCAGCUGUGUUUAUUUUAAUAUGUCUGUUUUAACCCUCACCUAAAAACAAAUGGGAAGGUUUGGGAGUGCAUUAAUCUGGAUCAGAUUAGUGUCUCUUUUUCCCUCAAAAGUGCAAUUUGAGAUUAAUGAAAAUAAACUAGAGUUUCAUAUGCAGUCUUUAAGUCAUUUGCAUGUUUUAUGCAUGAUAAUUGAAUUUAUUUAUGCACUUCCUUUCAUUUAAUGAUUUCUCACUCUUUUCUAUGCUAUCAACAUUAUAUUUUGCAAGAAGUAGGAUUUGGUAGGCAAGAAAGGAUAGCAGUAUAUAAAUCAAACCCAAGUUAAUUUUGAGUUCUAGUGUCAGCACUAGACCAGAAUUAAUAUUGGUUUCAUGCCAGUGGGUCUACAUGGCUGGGAAGAUGUAGAAUAUUUUUGGUAAAGCAUAGAUUUUAGCUUGAGACAUUUCUGAUGUAGCCUAGUUUGCUUGCAAGUGCACAAGCAAAAUUAUUUUCAAAUGGCAGUUAAAUUAUUGUAUUGACUUUUCAAUGACCCUAGAGACUUGUGUUUCUACUUGGCCAAUUAGUAGUAAUAAGAAGAUGAAUAGUAAUUACACUAAUAAAUAACUGUGUUCAGACCAGGACCUCAGUAUAAUAGUCUGGGUUAGAAAAUAAGGAUAUUUUAUAAUUUGUCUCAUUUGGUCUUUCAUCAGGAGAAACAUGGACUUUGGUGUUAUAGUAAAUUUGUCAUAGCCAAGAAGGUAAAGUCCUAGGGAUGAGAGGGUCAUAUUUGACAGGAGCUCUGUGACAGUAGCUGUUUCAGUGUCAUAAGUAGGGAAUCUUGUUCUGCUUCUGCAGUUAAGCUCAGAUGUCUUAAAGAUGUCUUAGUGUUGGAGUCCGAUUUUUUUAUAAUGCCUGCCAGGAAGUUACUAAGGAAAAUUAGGAAAAAGAUGCUGGUAGUGGUGCUUUCAUAGCGUUUAUCUAUACCAGUUUCUUUUGUGUCUCUCGUCUUUCCUUAUGUCUUGAAAGAUGUAUGUGGAAGUGAUAUUUUUCUGUGGUGUCCUGUCUUUUAUCAGUGAAUUAAAUGGUUGUGUCUUGUGAUUGUUUCCUGAUUCUUGUAGGCAGGAAUGUGUUUAAAGGCUAAAGCUUUGUUAAUUUGUGAUGUAACCAUUUCAGUGUCUUUCUUGUCAUUGAAAUGUAGUUUAAAAUGUUCAGUAAUGUAGCAUGAAAUCAUUGGUUAGUUUUGGAAUGAUGAUGAAAUCAUGUGAAGAAAAUAAGUAUUGCAUCUGAUCAAGAUAAAUUCACUCUAGUGUUUUAUGGCUUUUUAUUCCUAUGUGAUAGUAAUAAAGUCUCAUGUAGGGAUGGAAGCCAUGAAAUACAUUGUGAAAAAUCAUCAACUCAGAUGGGGCCAUCAGGAUAGCAUGCUGUAGUUGUAGAGUUAUGGAGAAUGAUUGGAAGAUGGUUUAGUGUGUCAUCACUUUGACUACCAUGUUUUUGCAUUUUGUUUCUUCAUCCUUCACCCAUGCAAUUUGAUGAGAGGAAAUCAGUUUGUAACAAGAUGAUCCAUCUUUACAUCAGUGUUCAGUAUUUAAAUUGUUCAUACAUCUUUCAUUUUCUGCCAAAGAUAACACUGUAUAUGAAACCCUUAGCUAAGAAUUUAAUAUAGCUAAUAAACACAUGCCAAAAUGAAUACAAAGAAAUGCCAAUGAAUUUCUAAGUGCCUAGAAAUAAGGAAGGAAAUAAAGCAAGGUCUACCCUGUUAGCAACUGGUCCAGAUUCUUUAUUUCCAUGUUUAAGAGCAAAUCUGAGAUGUAACCAGGGAUUAAAAAACAAUUCUUUUCUCUGCUUCCAUGUCUUUCUGAAAGUGCUUGUUCUUUUCCUCUCUGGAACUGGGAUGAAGGCUGACAGUGUUGGGCUCAGAAAACAAUUUCUGACAAAUUCCUUACAGUGCUGCUAUUCCACAUAUUGCCUUACUGCUCCGUCUCCUUUGCUUUUGUAUACCAAUUUCCUUUGAGAAUGUUUUGCGGAAUGUUAUUUAUUCUGAUGCAACUAUUUCCAAUUUUUCUGUUGUAAUAUUUCUCUGAAGCAUAUGUUAAUAAAACAUUAUUGAUUUUUUGGUA
This is a long non-coding RNA of Vidua macroura (Pin-tailed whydah), 3892 nucleotides long. RefSeq lists it as uncharacterized. Lineage: Eukaryota; Metazoa; Chordata; Aves; Passeriformes; Viduidae. The record is from RefSeq and is a predicted model, not a curated record. The transcript has 3 exons.